GACGUAGGGGGCCAGCGUUGUUCGGAAUUACUGGGUGUAAAGGGUUCGUAGGCGGUGUGGCAAGUUGGGAGUGAAAUCUCUGGGCUCAACCCAGAGGCUGCUUCCAAAACUGCUGUGCUUGAGUGUGAGAGAGGCUCGUGGAAUUGCAGGUGUAGCGGUGAAAUGCGUAGAUAUCUGCAGGAACACCCGUGGCGAAAGCGGCGAGCUGGAUCACAACUGACGCUGAGGAACGAAAGCUAGGGGAGCAAACAGG
This 253-nucleotide ribosomal RNA is filed under the name uncultured bacterium. RNAcentral's name for it is "partial 16S ribosomal RNA". It matches the Rfam family "Bacterial small subunit ribosomal RNA", at positions 524 to 776 of the family's 1533-position model. The record is from RNAcentral.